Molecule: ribosomal RNA, 465 nt
Filed under: uncultured bacterium
Lineage: Bacteria
Description: partial 16S ribosomal RNA
Rfam family: Bacterial small subunit ribosomal RNA
Source: RNAcentral
GACGAACGCUGGCGGCGUGCUUAACACAUGCAAGUCGAACGGAAAGGCCCCUUUGGGGGUACUCGAGUGGCGAACGGGUGCGUAACACGUGAGUAACCUGCCCUUGCCUUCGGGAUAACUUCAGGAAACUGGGGCUAAUACCGGAUAGGAAUCCUUGCUGCAUGGUGGGGGUUGGAAAGCUUCGGCGGUUUUGGAUGGACUCGCGGCUUAUCAGCUUGUUGCUGGGGUAGUGGCUUACCAAGGCGUUGACGGGUAGCCGGCCUGAGUGGGCGACCGGCCACACUGGGACUGAGAGACGGCACAGACUCCGACGGGAGGCAGCAGUGGGGAAUAUUGCACGAUGGGCGGAAGCCUGAUGCAGCAACGCCGCGGGCGGGAUGACGGCCUUCGGGUUGAAAACCGCUUGCAGCAGGGGCGAAGCUUGUGGUGACGGUACCUGCAGAAGAAGCACCGGCUAACUACGUG